AGCUCUUCAAGUUGUCGGGACAAUUAUUGAGCUUAAAGUGUCCGUAGCCGGUUUGGUAAGUCCCUGGUUAAAUCUGGUAGCUUAACUAUCAGUUUGCUAGGGAAACUACCUAGCUAGAGGGCGGGAAAGGUCUGAGGUACUCCAGGGGUAGCGGUGAAAUGCGAUAAUCCUUGGGGGACCACCAGUGGCGAAAGCGUCAGACUGGAACGCGCCUGACGGUGAGGGACGAAAGCCAGGGGAGCGAACG
RNAcentral lists this ribosomal RNA (247 nucleotides) under uncultured crenarchaeote. Its description in RNAcentral is "partial 16S ribosomal RNA". It matches the Rfam family "Archaeal small subunit ribosomal RNA", at positions 478 to 725 of the family's 1478-position model. The record is from RNAcentral. Lineage: Archaea; Thermoproteati; Thermoproteota.